AAAUGGACAGAAGAGAAUGAGAUACCGUAUAUACUCGCAUGUAAGUCGACUUUUUCAGCACAUUUUUUGUGCUGAAAAAGCCCCCCUCGACUUAUACGUGAGUGAGGAUUU
Long non-coding RNA from Sphaerodactylus townsendi, 111 nucleotides. RefSeq lists it as uncharacterized. The record is from RefSeq and is a predicted model, not a curated record. NCBI's taxonomy places the organism in Eukaryota, Metazoa, Chordata, Lepidosauria, Squamata, Sphaerodactylidae. The transcript has 4 exons.